This 30-nucleotide non-coding RNA is filed under the name Mus musculus (house mouse). Lineage: Eukaryota; Metazoa; Chordata; Mammalia; Rodentia; Muridae. The record is from RNAcentral.
UAUCACAGUGCGUCCAGUAUCAUUCUUGGU